Molecule: non-coding RNA, 539 nt
Organism: Lepisosteus oculatus (spotted gar)
Lineage: Eukaryota; Metazoa; Chordata; Actinopteri; Semionotiformes; Lepisosteidae
Source: RefSeq, a predicted model, not a curated record
CAUGAAGCCGCUGAAAAAGUCAAGGAAGCGACAACAAGCCAAGCGGGACAGCUUAUAAAAGAGAUCUCGUUUUCCCAUGAUUCAUCUGUGUCGACAGAGGACUGCGAUUUCUGCAGCUUAUUUCUCCACUCGAAAAUGAAAGAUACCUUUGGGUAAAAAAAACAAACAAACAACAAAGGUAGCUCCUCGGAUGUCUGGUAUCUGUAGUCCUCAAACGCUUCUUCCCCCCUCCCAACCCUGCUGAUAUUUCCUUUUGUAUUCAAAUCCGAGCCGAGCUCGAGCCCCGUCCGAGUAAGGAAACGGGUGCCUGGUCGUUGUAGUUCUUCUGGCCGGGACCGGCCGCUGCAAUCCGGCGGCGGUGCCCUGCCGAGGAACUCCAUUUCCCAGGAGGCAAAGCGGCCAGCCGGUGCGUCGCCCUGCGUCAGAUCUGUAGUAGCCCAGACAGAGACGGGGGGGAGAGAGAGAGAGAGCGAGCGAGCAGUGCGGCGCUCGGCGAAACGGUUUAAAUGCUGUCUCUCUCCGUGGAGGAUUUUUAAAGA